Cajanus cajan (pigeon pea) is the source of this 888-nucleotide RNA transcript. RefSeq lists it as uncharacterized. The record is from RefSeq and is a predicted model, not a curated record. Lineage: Eukaryota; Viridiplantae; Streptophyta; Magnoliopsida; Fabales; Fabaceae.
CUGUGCGAGUAACUUCCCUUUUGAAAAAUUCACAAUUUCACUAACAAUCGGAAACAACAUGCAAGAGCAAGAGGAGAAACUGGAGAAAACCAAUUCGCGCAGAAGAGUGAAGCUUCGAUUCGUUUAGUUUUCUUCUUCCACUGAAUCCCAUGGCGAGAGUGAAGCACACGCCAGCUUCUCGCAAGCUUGGUAGGAAGAACAAAGCACCGCAGGCAUUCACUUCCGCGCCAAAAUCACCGCAAUCUCAAUCGAAUUCAUAAAUCCAUAUGGAAUCCGUUCCUCGUCCCAGACUCAGAAUGAUUCUGAUUCUUCGUCUGAAAGAUUGUCAUGACAGCAGAAACGGAAAAUCAACAUGGCAAUUUGGAGCUUAGUUACAACAAUGAGGAAUUUCGAUUAGAGGGAAAUAGUAAUGGUGGUUACAUGGACAAGGCAUGCCUUUAUAAUCAUUCCUCUGUGGGGGAUGGAACUGUGACUUUUUCAGAAGGCAAUUGUCAUGUUGAUAUCAAUGACCAGUUUGAAGGGGAAUUAGAGGGCAAGGCUGAAAAUCACACUGUUUCCUGUAGUAGUGAAGUUCCAUUUUGCAAAAGCAUUCCAGGUGAGGGAAGCUCUAGGGGUUACCCUUUCUGUAUUGUGCUCUAACAUUCGGCUAUAUCAUUCAAGUCAUCAGGAUAAUGCACAGGGAGAGAGAAAUGAUAAGUUGAUAGCUUGGUGAAAGAUGAAAGCUGGGUUUAGUUUCUUACAGGGCGUGCUGCUGAAGCAGUUGUGAAAAUUUAGAUUGUUACCCAAUCAGAUAAAGUGGUGAAUCUCGUAGAUAUUAGUUCUCAAAAUGGGCAUCAAGAUGGUGAUUCAGAAGAUGACAUGAAAUGGAUGGAAACGCUACCAAUGUGA